CGGAAUGUGCAAACGUUAUUCGGAAUCACUGGGCUUAAAGAGUCCGUAGGCGGCUUGUUAGGUGAGGUGUGAAAUCCCACGGCUCAACCGUGGAAUUGCGCUUCAAACCGGCAAGCUUGAGGAGGAUAGAGGUGGGCGGAACUGAUGGUGGAGCGGUGAAAUGCGUUGAUAUCAUCAGGAACACCGGAGGCGAAAGCGGUCCACUGGGUCCUUUCUGACGCUGAGGGACGAAAGCUAGGGGAGCGAACGGGAUUAGAUACCCCGGUAGUCCUAGCCUUAAACGAUGAGCACUAGACCGAAGAACCUCCACGGUUUUUUGGUCGUAGCGAAAGUGUUAAGUGCUCGCCUGGGGAGUAUGGUCGCAAGGCUG
This 370-nucleotide ribosomal RNA is filed under the name uncultured organism. RNAcentral describes it as "bacterial SSU rRNA". It matches the Rfam family "Bacterial small subunit ribosomal RNA", at positions 526 to 896 of the family's 1533-position model. The record is from RNAcentral.